UCGAGGCUCCCUACGCAGCGUCGCUUAUCUCGUUUUCUCGUAUACGAGCGUGACGUCAUGCUGCAAGUUGCACGGGAGUAACUGAGCGAGGAAAGGGGACCAGAGGGGAGCAGUUACGUGGGGAUAUAGACGAGCAAAUGUGCGCGCGCGCACCAGAAAGCCGCAGCGUCGAUGGAUUUGCUGUUACCUGCAUGGAGUGGCUGCAUGCAGAAUACACACGAGGUGACAUCGUCGUAUUGCAAAGGCGACGGCGGGGCAAUGCCACGAAUUGUGGCCCACGACGGAGACGAUGGUCUAUGCGCAUAUUGUGCUGGACGGUUAAUGGCGUGAUGGCGUGACAUCGGUGCACAUUGCACACGCACACUGCGAAUGGGGUGAACGGAAUGGAACGGAACGGAACGGAACGGAACAGAACAGGAUGGAACGGGAUGGAAUAGAAUGGAAUGGAACGGAACAAAACGAAACGAAAGACCGGAACGCGAUGUCGCGUGUCCUAUGUUGCAUUCGCGUGUGUCGCAAAUAUUACACGCGAUUCUUCAACUAAAUGCUUUAGUGCACGAAUAUAUUCGUACAUCGUUUUGCUUCUUCGUUUUCUUUCUAAAGUUUAAGUCUUUAACUCUCACAAUCGCUAUAUGUGAUUAUUACUUUAUGCUAUAUUACGCAAGAUUAGACGAAUUUAUUAUACAUAAAGGCUAUACAAAGGCUAUAAAUCUCGGAAAAAGAAUGUACAAUUAUUUUUUUGAUGUAUUGCAUUUUAUCUUAUAUAUAUUGAUUAAUAUAAAUAUUUAUGUACGAAGAAAA
Molecule: long non-coding RNA, 801 nt
Organism: Apis laboriosa (Himalayan honeybee)
Lineage: Eukaryota; Metazoa; Arthropoda; Insecta; Hymenoptera; Apidae
Exons: 2
Source: RefSeq, a predicted model, not a curated record